UUGCGUACACAUCGUGUUAGCUCCUCACUUCUUAUGUUUUUAAGUGUAAGUUUUAACUUCUAAUUCCUUUUGCCCUUAGGUUUUUAGGGUUUUAGUUAUGAGUCCCUCAGAGGACAUUUCUAGCGACUCGGAGGCUAAUAUUUCAAAACAAGAUUUGGCAAAACGUUUAUGUAAGUUGGAACGUAAGCUUCGCAAGGUCAAACGCCGCCAUCGUGAUCGUCACGUUUUCGAAGUAAACGCCGCGCCGUUCUUGUUCUCGCAGCUCCCUUCGCCGCCGGCGUUAUAGAAGACCCAAAACCUUCGGCAACACAACGGUAAUGCCGUGCUCGUGAUUAUCGCAGCCCGACCGGCGCGGAGUCACCGAGACAUAGCGCAGAUCGUUUCUUGCACGAUUCGACAAGCGCUGAACGACUGGUUGAUCAUUUUCCGCGCAAAAUGGCGCCAGCUGCGACUCUAACCUCCAGCGAGGGGGCUCCAGAUCCUCCCGAUUUUGACGACAGGGAGUCUCCUGUUUACAAAUUCAUAAUGAAGACGAUUUGCCGGAGGUUUUUUGCAGGUCUUAGGAGAGGAUCCCCGACAAAACACCCCGGCGCCAUUCAACCUUCACGAAGCUUUAAACUCCCGUUGGAGUCAUGUGAUUGCUAAUGGCCUGUUUUCUUCGGAGCGCGACUCUUAUCAGUUGCCAUCGAAUUGCGUCGCUUUGACCCCACCAAUUCUUAAUCCGGAGAUUUGUUCUAUUUUGUCGGGACCUAACCUAAAACGUGACAAUGCAUACUUGCAACUGCAGACACAACUAAGUCACGGUAGCUCGGCCUUAGCCUCGGCUGUUCAUUUAAUUCUUGAGAGUAAAGAAAUUAUUUCCCAAGAUCUGACAGCUCGCUUAUUGGCAGGAUUGAGUGAUGCAAGUCGCAUACAUUUAGACCUUCUCCAUCAAAUGUCACUCCGGCGUACUCUCAUUUAUCCUUCUCUAAGCAAAUCAGUGAAGGUUAUAGUCGAGAAAUCUACUCCGCUUCAGUUUCUCUUUGGAAACGAGUUAGGAGAGCAAAUAAAAGCUGCAAAAUUAGUGGCUAAAGCUGGGAAGGACUUAAAGGCCCCGCCGGUAUCACACUCCUCCACUGUUUCGUCCAGACGGACUUUUCCAAAGCUAGGCAGGGGGGAAAAGGGAGGAGAGAGCGCUAACCUUAGCCGGCCUUAAUAGCGGGCCGUUAAACCGCAACCGCCCGGCUCGCUCAACGGGCAGAGCUCAGCCAGAGAAGGGCCAGCCCUCAAAAACACGUUACCAUUACAAACGUCGACAGUAGAGUCACCAACAUCCGCUGUCAAGCACACUUACCCUGGUGGCCGCGCACUUAUCUGCGAAGCUUUUCGCAAGAAAGAAGUCCCGGACUGUGCCAUCGACACCAUGGUAGAAUCCAUCUCCGCCUCGACCAUGCGACAGUAUGAAACAACUUAUCGACAGUGGUGGAACUUCUGCAGCGAACGAUCUCUCUCUCCUUAUCAAGCACCCUCCAUAAUAGAAUUUUUACAGCGGGUGUUCGAGGGAAACAAUCUCCAGUACGGUAGCAUGAAUUCCCAUCGCUCCGCGUUGGCGCUUAUUAAUUUGCAACCGCUGUCAAACGAUGCGCGUCUUUCGCGCUUUAUGAAAGGAAUCUCUAGAUUAAGAUCUUCGAAACCGCGUUAUAAUAGCACCUGGGACCCUAACGUUGUGCUUGAGUACCUUCAGAAACUCGGACCUAAUUUUACUUUAACCCUGAAGGAUUUGUCAGCCAACCUAGUUACUUUGUUAGCUCUGGCCACAGGCCAUCGCCUUCAGACAAUCCAGUUAAUCAAAUUAUCAAACAUACAUACCUCUGCACAGGGCAUACAGAUUCCUAUCACUGGCCCCGUUAAAACGUCGGGUUCCAAUCGAUCUCAGCCUUGUCUGCAAAUACCAAGAUUUGCUGAAAAUCCCUUACUCUGUGUAGCUACUACUUUGAUUGACUACAUAGAGGCCACAAAACCCCUUCAGACUCCGAAUCAGGACUACCUGUUUAUUACUUUUAAAGAGCCUUAUAAAACCGCUACCAAACAAUCCAUCAGUCGCUGGAUUAAAAACACAUUGCUUACGGCUGGAUUGGAUACAAAUGGUUUCAAGCCGCAUUCGUUCCGUCACGCAUCCACUUCUGCGGCUUAUAGGCAUGGGCUUUCUCUCUCAAAUACCCUAUCAUCACCGGGCAGCUAGUACAAGAAAACUAUCAUAUUUCAUUUCGGUGAAUAGUUUCGGUUGUAUACACAACCAGUUUACACUGUUUAGUUAGGAUAUUCGGUUAUUAAAGGUUACUUUAUAAGACAACAGAGUUGUCUCAGCUUGCACGGGCCGAAUUAAUCCAGAUCUCUAAACAACUACAUGGUGUAUAAUCUAAGUGAUAUUGAGGAUUGGACACUGAUAUAUAAUUAGUGAUCAAGCGAACUUA
RNA transcript from Photinus pyralis (common eastern firefly), 2453 nucleotides. RefSeq lists it as uncharacterized. Lineage: Eukaryota; Metazoa; Arthropoda; Insecta; Coleoptera; Lampyridae. The transcript has 2 exons. The record is from RefSeq and is a predicted model, not a curated record.